AUACGGAGGGUGCAAGCGUUAAUCGGAAUUACUGGGCGUAAAGCGCGCGUAGGCGGAUAUUUAAGUCUCAUGUGAAAGCCCUGGGCUCAACCUGGGAACUGCAUGGGAUACUGGGUAUCUAGAAUACAGUAGAGGGUAGUGGAAUUUCAGGUGUAGCGGUGAAAUGCGUAGAGAUCUGAAGGAACAUCAGUGGCGAAGGCGACUACCUGGACUGAUAUUGACGCUGAGGUGCGAAAGCGUGGGGAGCAAACGGAAUUAGAUACCCUAGUAGUCC
This 274-nucleotide ribosomal RNA is filed under the name uncultured bacterium. RNAcentral describes it as "partial 16S ribosomal RNA". It matches the Rfam family "Bacterial small subunit ribosomal RNA", at positions 523 to 796 of the family's 1533-position model. The record is from RNAcentral.